AUGCACACUAACCCCAAAGUGCUGGGCUUCCUAAGGAUCGUCAGUGUGAUUCUCCCUCCACCACACUGUCUAGAGCUUUGGUGGAAAGAGGACCCUCUCCAGCCAUCCUUCUCAGAGUGUGGACCAUUAAAGCAGAGACAAUUUGUCCCCAGUAAGGAGCACAGUACUUGACACAUGGUGCACUGAAGUGCCCUACAAUCCUCUCUGCCCAGAGAGAAGAAUGAAGCAUGAAGCCAAGAGAAAGAAAAGGACCUCCCUGCCUCCUCACAUACAGAUACGUACACGUACAGAUGAGCAUACGGAAACACAGAUCCCUGCAUCAUGACAUAUAUGCAGGCAUCCGUUCUCAAAGAAGAAAGGAGCGUUGCUGAAGUUCCCACGGGCUUUCCCGUUCCUGGUCCUACUCUCAAGAGGUUUGGCACUGAGUUCUCAGAACCACAUUUCAGAAUGUUUGCAGUUUUUCUUUUUGGCUUACUUUAGCUCCUCUUGAUUUAUCUCAUCAGCAUUUUUUCCCCAGAAAUAUCUCAAUUUCAAUUAAAAUAUCUCACAUUUUAUUGCAAAAAAAAAAAAAACCUUGAUAAAAUCCCCAAAUUCUCCUAUUUCAAAGGUAUAAAUCAAUACAUCAAUACAAACUUGGGAUUUAUUUUAACUAUAUUUGAUGAAUAGUAGCUUAAAAAGAACUUAGCUUUUAUUUAGAGCCUUAGAGACAUG
This 711-nucleotide long non-coding RNA is filed under the name Felis catus (domestic cat). Its description in RNAcentral is "lncRNA (ENSFCAG00000041766.2)". The record is from RNAcentral. Lineage: Eukaryota; Metazoa; Chordata; Mammalia; Carnivora; Felidae.